UAGCAUAAUAAAUUGUUUUUUAAUUGAAAACUGGAAUGAAAGGUUACACAAUUUAUAAAUUUUUUAGGUCAAGUUCACGAAUUUUUACUAUAAGUAAAAAUACUUAUAUAUUAUAAAGGGACGAUAAGACCCUAGAAGCUUGAUUCCAUAUCAUGUACAAAAAUUUUUUGUUGAUACCUUGUAUUUGAUAGGAAUUUGAUUGGGGAAAUAAUUAUUUUAUAAAUAAUAUGUUAUCUAAUACCUUAAAUAUUAAGAUCUUUUAUAUAAAAAUUUACAGUAAAAGUUACUCUAGGGAUAACAGCGUAAUAAUUUUGGAUAGACCGUAUAUAUAAAAUUGAUUGCGACCUCGAUGUUGAAUUAAAAUAUCUAUAUAAAGUAGAAAUUAUAUAAGAAA
This 394-nucleotide ribosomal RNA is filed under the name Longipodacrangonyx sp. 1 MDMBR-2012. RNAcentral's name for it is "partial 16S ribosomal RNA". The record is from RNAcentral. Lineage: Eukaryota; Metazoa; Arthropoda; Malacostraca; Amphipoda; Metacrangonyctidae.